RNAcentral lists this ribosomal RNA (535 nucleotides) under Salarias fasciatus (jewelled blenny). RNAcentral's name for it is "partial 16S large subunit ribosomal RNA". It matches the Rfam family "Bacterial large subunit ribosomal RNA", at positions 142 to 1050 of the family's 2925-position model. The record is from RNAcentral. Lineage: Eukaryota; Metazoa; Chordata; Actinopteri; Blenniiformes; Blenniidae.
AGCCCAGCAGCUAGCCUAACCAAUAAACCUAAAGCCCCGACAUUAAUAAACCCGAAGAAUCGCACAACAAUAUAUUAAAACAUUUUAUUGCUGAAGUAUGGGCGACAGAAACAGAAAAUAGAGCAACAGACAAAGUACCGCAAGGGAAUGCUGAAAUAGAAAUGAAAAAAAUCAGUUAAGCACAGAAAAGCAGAGACUUACUCUCGUACCUUUUGCAUCAUGAUUUAGCGAGCCAUCUUCAAGCAAAAAGCCCUGUAGUUUGAAAACCCGAAACCAAGUGAGCUACUCCAAGACAGUCUAAUUAAUAGGACUACUCCCGUCUCUGUGGCAAAAGAUGUGGGAAGAGCUUUGAGUAGAGGUGAAAAGCCUACCGAACUUGGUGAUAGCUGGUUGCCCGAGAAAUGAAUAGAAGUUCAGCCCUUAAUGCUCUUCAAUCACGCGCAUCGUCGAUAAAAGAGCCGUUAAGGAGUUAGUUAUAGGGGGUCCAGCCCCUAUGACGAAAGAAACAACUUUAUAAGGACGGCUAAGGAUUAAC